ACGGAAGGCAGCAGUGGGGAAUAUUGCACAAUGGGCGCAAGCCUGAUGCGGCGAUGCCGCGUGAGGGAAGAAGGUUUUCGGAUUGUAAACCUCUGUCAACAGGGACGAAAAUGACGGUACCUGUGAAGGAAGCUCCGGCUAACUACGUGCCAGCAGCCGCGGUAAUACGUAGGGAGCAAGCGUUAUCCGGAAUUACUGGGUGUAAAGGGAGUGUAGGCGGGACUGUAAGUCAGAUGUGAAAUAUGCCGGCUCAACUGGCAGACUGCAUUUGAAACUGCGGUUCUUGAGUGAAGUAGAGGUAAGCGGAAUUCCUAGUGUAGCGGUGAAAUGCGUAGAUAUUAGGAGGAACAUCAGUGGCGAAGGCGGCUUACUGGGCUUUAACUGACGCUGAGGCUCAAAAGCGUGGGGAGCAAACAGGAUUAGAUACCCUGGUA
RNAcentral lists this ribosomal RNA (434 nucleotides) under uncultured Ruminococcus sp. Its description in RNAcentral is "partial 16S ribosomal RNA". It matches the Rfam family "Bacterial small subunit ribosomal RNA", at positions 341 to 792 of the family's 1533-position model. The record is from RNAcentral. Lineage: Bacteria; Bacillati; Bacillota; Clostridia; Eubacteriales; Oscillospiraceae.